AAGCGCAGUUAGAAAAGUAUAAGGCAAGGUCGAAGUCAUAGUCAGACAUGGGUCAAUGGCGGCAGCUAGAUUCAGUAGUCAAAAACCAGGCAAGAAGUCAAAACCAAUAGGAGCAAUGGAAAACAGGCUUGAGCAGAAUCAGGGAACUGAACAACAGCUUGGGCAACACAAACUAGGGAAUCCAGGCUUUUAUUUUGAACAAUGACGUCAGUACGGACACAGUGUGCAUGCGCCCAGAAGCAUCAUAUCUAUAUUGCGCAUGAACGCGUCCUGGCAUACUGCUGAGGUCAAUCACAUCUGGACGUGCAUGCGCAAGGAAGACCAGGGACCGACGCGCUUCAAGACUGGAUUUCUACAGUGAAUCUGGUCCCCUGCAGACAGUUCAUGAUCGCCGAUCACCCAGGCACCAAAUAUGGGAAAAACAAAGGAGAACCCCAACAAUCCAGAUACAAAGACCCCCUGCAAGCAUCUUCUCAAAAUGGCGGUGCUGUCACUGCUUCAGACUUGGAGGAGGUGGAGGAGAAUCAGAACCAAGUGCAGAACAGGAAGUUAUGAGUAUACCUGGGCAAACAUUCGGACAACACACUCUACAUGCCGUGGUUUCAAAAAAGAAAGUUAAAGGUGGAGGUAAAAAGAUUGGGGUGUGACCCUGUGCCAUAAAACUAAUAAAACAAGCCUAUUUAAAGCCAAAGUCUGUUUUCGCAUCUUUUUUUAUGUAGUUGUAAUUCCUCAUUUCUCCACUAGGGCAGGAACUGAUGUGAA
Long non-coding RNA from Xenopus laevis (African clawed frog), 762 nucleotides. RefSeq lists it as uncharacterized. NCBI's taxonomy places the organism in Eukaryota, Metazoa, Chordata, Amphibia, Anura, Pipidae. The transcript has 3 exons. The record is from RefSeq and is a predicted model, not a curated record.